UGCAAGUCGAGCGCGGGAAGCUUGUCUGAUCCCUUCGGGGUGACGCGAGUGGAACGAGCGGCGGACGGGUGAGUAACACGUGGGCAACCUGCCUGUAAGACUGGGAUAACUCCGGGAAACCGGGGCUAAUACCGGAUAAUACAUUGCUUCGCAUGAAGCAAUGUUGAAAGAUGGCUUUUAGCUAUCACUUACAGAUGGGCCCGCGGCGCAUUAGCUAGUUGGUAAGGUAAUGGCUUACCAAGGCAACGAUGCGUAGCCGACCUGAGAGGGUGAUCGGCCACACUGGGACUGAGACACGGCCCAGACUCCUACGGGAGGCAGCAGUAGGGAAUCUUCCGCAAUGGACGAAAGUCUGACGGAGCAACGCCGCGUGAACGAAGAAGGUUUUCGGAUCGUAAAGUUCUGUUGUUAGGGAAGAACAAGUACCGUUCAAAUAGGGCGGUACCUUGACGGUACCUAUCGAGGAAGCCCCGGCUAACUACGUGCCAGCAGCCGCGGUAAUACGUAGGGGGCAAGCGUUGUCCGGAAUUAUUGGGCGUAAAGCGCGCGUAGGCGGUUUCUUAAGUCUGAUGUGAAAUCUUGCGGCUCAACCGCAAGCGGCCAUUGGAAACUGAGGAACUUGAGUGCAGAAGAGGAGAGCGGAAUUCCACGUGUAGCGGUGAAAUGCGUAGAUAUGUGGAGGAACACCAGUGGCGAAGGCGGCUCUCUGGUCUGUAACUGACGCUGAGGUGCGAAAGCGUGGGGAGCGAACAGGAUUAGAUACCCUGGUAGUCCACGCCGUAAACGAUGAGUGCUAGGUGUUAGGGGGUUUCCGCCCCUUAGUGCUGCAGUUAACGCAUUAAGCACUCCGCCU
Molecule: ribosomal RNA, 853 nt
Filed under: Gracilibacillus sp.
Lineage: Bacteria; Bacillati; Bacillota; Bacilli; Caryophanales; Bacillaceae
Description: bacterial SSU rRNA
Rfam family: Bacterial small subunit ribosomal RNA
Source: RNAcentral